Molecule: ribosomal RNA, 459 nt
Filed under: uncultured bacterium
Lineage: Bacteria
Description: bacterial SSU rRNA
Rfam family: Bacterial small subunit ribosomal RNA
Source: RNAcentral
UACGGAAGGCAGCAGUGGGGAAUAUUGCACAAUGGGCGAAAGCCUGAUGCAGCUAUGCCGCGUGUAUGAAGAAGGCCUUAGGGUUGUAAAGUACUUUUCAUCGGGGAGGAAAAACAAAACUAAUAAUUUUAUUUCUUGACGUUACCCGAAAAAGAAGCACCGGCUAACUCCGUGCCAGCAGCCGCGGUAAUACGGAGGGUGCUAGCGUUAAUCAGAAUUACUGGGCGUAAAGAGCACGUAGGUGGUUUUUUUAAGUCAGAUGUGAAAUCCCUGGGCUUAACCUGGAACUGCAUUUUGAAACUGAAAUACUAGAGUAUCGUAGAGGGAGGUAGAAUUCUAGGUGUAGCGGUGAAAUGCGUAGAUAUCUGGAGGAAUACCUGUGGCGAAAGCGGCCUCCUAAACGAAUACUGACACUGAGGUGCGAAAGCGUGGGGAGCAAACGAGGGAUUAGAUACCCGU